AAAGGAAUUGACGGGGGCCCGCACAAGCGGCGGAGCAUGUUGCUUAAUUCGACGCAACGCGAAGAACCUUACCAAGGUUUGACAUGGCCGGAAAACUCAUGGAGACAUGGGGUCCUUCGGGGCCGGUCACAGGUGGUGCAUGGCUGUCGUCAGCUCGUGUCGUGAGAUGUUGGGUUAAGUCCCGCAACGAGCGCAACCCUUGUCCCAUGUUGCCAGCAUUCGGUUGGGGACUCAUGGGAGACUGCCGGGGUCAACUCGGAGGAAGGUGGGGAUGACGUCAAGUCAUCAUGCCCCUUAUGUCUUGGGCUGCAAACAUGCUACAAUGGCCGGUACAAAGGGCUGCGAGCCUGCGAGGGUGAGCGAAUCCCGGAAAGCCGGUCUCAGUUCGGAUCGGGGUCUGCAACCCGACCCCGUGAAGUCGGAGUCGCUAGUAAUCGCGAAUCAGCAAUGUCGCGGUGAAUACGUUCCCGGGCCUUGUACACACCGCCCGU
RNAcentral lists this ribosomal RNA (491 nucleotides) under uncultured bacterium. Its description in RNAcentral is "bacterial SSU rRNA". It matches the Rfam family "Bacterial small subunit ribosomal RNA", at positions 903 to 1397 of the family's 1533-position model. The record is from RNAcentral.